GUCACCUCGGUCCAGUCAGAACUUUCUUUGUUUCUUUGAAGAGAAAGGAUUGGCUGAAUUGUAGGUGAC
This is a microRNA precursor of Bos taurus (domestic cattle), 69 nucleotides long. Lineage: Eukaryota; Metazoa; Chordata; Mammalia; Artiodactyla; Bovidae. The record is from Ensembl.